RNAcentral lists this microRNA (22 nucleotides) under Electrophorus electricus (electric eel). Its description in RNAcentral is "eel-miR-11061-3p". Lineage: Eukaryota; Metazoa; Chordata; Actinopteri; Gymnotiformes; Gymnotidae. The record is from miRBase by way of RNAcentral.
GCAGGCCGUGACUUCAUCUGGA